UUUUUUUUUUAGUUUUUUAUUUUGUUCAUUAUGUGAUUAUCUGCUUUUAACAUGUGAUGCAGUCCAAGUUUGAGUUUGACGGUAAUGCUAAGGCUUAGGUGCUGAAGUCAAUUGGUGAAAAAAUGGAGGGAAUGGAAGCGCAAGCUGAAGAAACUCCACUACUCUUCUCAUAAGACUGAUGAGGAGCAGCUCACAGAUCUUGAUGAGCGGGUCCAAGAGGAUCAAUGGAAGACUCUCGUUCAGUUUUGGAGCUCUGAAGAGGGGAAGGCUCGUUCUAAAACAAAUAUAGAGAAUCGAAAGAAACAACUGAUUAACCACGCGGCAGGCACGAAGAGUUUUGCGCGAAUAUGUGAAGAAGAGAGGAAAAAGGCCAAUGGGGAGGGUCUAAGCCGAGCAGAUAUGUUUAUAUUGACUCAUACAUGCAAAGAUGGAAACCCUAUGGAUGAGGCCUCAUCAAUAGUAAUGGCAAAACUCAAUGAAGAAAUAUCUCAGCAACCUGGAGCCUCACAGAAUAGCUCGGCAAAGAAUGACCUAUUAUCUUAAGUCAUGGGAGAAGAUAGGCAUGGUCGUGUCCGCACUUAUGGCUUAGGACCAUCUCCAUCUGAUUUGUGGGGCGCAACAUCCAGCCAGCAAAGCAUGGCCUCCAUUGCUCAGAGGAGAGAUGAAAGAUAUGAGGAACUACAUGCUGGCAUAGUCUCUCUAAAAGAAAAUAUAGCUGCCACUCUCAUCCUUAAGAGAAGCUGAAAUGUCAUCCCUUAAAGAAACUAUGGUUGAAAUCUCAUCCGCAAGAGAUGCUGAAAUUUCUUCCUUAAAAGAAACUAUGAUGAAAUUGAUAGCCACUAUGAACAAUGCAAACAAUAACCCACCCACAGUAUUUGGUGUUGUAGUUAGUUCUAACAUGAACCAACCGCCCUCAUCAUCAAGCCAUUGGGUGAUCUCUCGGAAACACUCGAUGAAUAAGGGGAAGACCACGAGUUGCACUAGUGCUGGGGAUGUGACUGGAGUUAGUCUUAUAAGUAUCACGAAACCCGGGGUUACUAUUGCUAAAGGAGUUGUUUUAAGCAAGGAUCCACUCACAAAAGUAGGGGGCAUGAACUUGGAAUUGGUUUCUAGGAAGUAUUAAUUCAUGUGGCAAUAAUACGGCAUAAGGUUUUGAUAAGACCCUAUGGACGAUAUAAAACAAUUGGGGAUGCUAUUGGAACGAGUGUUGUUUGGCCCUCUAUUUUGUGUAAGUUUAAGGAGAGAUGGAUUGAGCUAAAUGAAAGGACCUCUCUCUCUCU
Molecule: long non-coding RNA, 1280 nt
Organism: Magnolia sinica
Lineage: Eukaryota; Viridiplantae; Streptophyta; Magnoliopsida; Magnoliales; Magnoliaceae
Exons: 7
Source: RefSeq, a predicted model, not a curated record